AAUAGAUUCUUUUUUUGUUGUUGUAUAAGUGCUCUUAUUUUGAAACCUUGACUCACCUACGGACCUAUGGGUAAUUAAGAUGGCGUCGCAGGUGGCUUGUUUGUUAGUUAGGUAGCACAGGAAGAUGCCAGCACACAGUUUUUCAACCACUUCAUUUGUUUCAAGUUUCUUUUGUUACCUGUAAAUAUUAUUGGAUCAUCAUCGCUGAUAUCGUCAGACUGGACUGUUGGAACCAACCUGCCACAAUCAACAUUUUAAACACGAUGGGACGUGACAAAGACAAGCUGGUUGGAGUUUCCCUCUAGCCUGACCCCAAUGGACCAGAGCAGUGGAUCUCAGGCUGACAGACUGGAAGGAAACCCUGCACUUUCACAGGAAGCUUGGUGCCCAAAUUGCUCCCUGCAGCCUUGACACGAAAAGAUCAGAGUCUUCGUAGUUCUUCAUCACUGUCUUCCUCUCAAAGCUUGCUGAUGUGCCCUCAUUCUGUGAGCUCCACUGAGCGAUGGACGAUGUAUCCCAGAAGUCUCUCAAGCCGCUUUCUGACCAGUAUCUAGUGUCACCAAAUUGAGAUGCACAACUGCCCUUGUCUGGGAAUAAAAGUGGCCUCAGUUCCCACCAAACAAACCAACCCAGGCGUGUGAUGAUGUGUCUGUCCUAGCAGUUUACGCCACCUCAUUAAAAUAAAGUGCUAACAAAAUGUUCUGGAUUAAACCAUUGAAUACCACAAAUGAGACACCCACAGCUGUGUACAGCCAUAAUCUUAUAAUCUGUCUGAACCUGGCCUCGCGAAUUACUGUAAGUGUCAGUAUGCCUUAAAACCUUUA
Long non-coding RNA from Anguilla rostrata (American eel), 824 nucleotides. RefSeq lists it as uncharacterized. NCBI's taxonomy places the organism in Eukaryota, Metazoa, Chordata, Actinopteri, Anguilliformes, Anguillidae. The record is from RefSeq and is a predicted model, not a curated record. The transcript is spliced from 3 exons.